This 274-nucleotide ribosomal RNA is filed under the name uncultured bacterium. RNAcentral's name for it is "partial 16S ribosomal RNA". It matches the Rfam family "Bacterial small subunit ribosomal RNA", at positions 523 to 796 of the family's 1533-position model. The record is from RNAcentral.
AUACGGAGGGUGCAAGCGUUAAUCGGAAUUACUGGGCGUAAAGCGUGCGCAGGCGGUUUGUUAAGUCAGAUGUGAGAGCCCCGGGCUCAACCUGGGAACUGCAUUUGAAACUGGCAAACUAGAGUGUUGUAGAGGGAAGUGGAAUUCCUCAUGUAGCGGUGGAAUGCGUAGAUAUGAGGAGGAACACCAGUGGCGAAGGCGACUUCCUGGACCAACACUGACGCUCAUGUACGAAAGCGUGGGUAGCAAACAGGAUUAGAAACCCUAGUAGUCC